AUGCAAGUCGAACGGUAACAGGAAGCAAGCUUGCUUCUUCGCUGACGAGUGGCGGACGGGUGAGUAAUGUCUGGGAAACUGCCUGAUGGAGGGGGAUAACUACUGGAAACGGUAGCUAAUACCGCAUAACGUCGCAAGACCAAAGAGGGGGACCUUCGGGCCUCUUGCCAUCGGAUGUGCCCAGAUGGGAUUAGCUAGUAGGUGGGGUAACGGCUCACCUAGGCGACGAUCCCUAGCUGGUCUGAGAGGAUGACCAGCCACACUGGAACUGAGACACGGUCCAGACUCCUACGGGAGGCAGCAGUGGGGAAUAUUGCACAAUGGGCGCAAGCCUGAUGCAGCCAUGCCGCGUGUAUGAAGAAGGCCUUCGGGUUGUAAAGUACUUUCAGCGGGGAGGAAGGGAGUAAAGUUAAUACCUUUGCUCAUUGACGUUACCCGCAGAAGAAGCACCGGCUAACUCCGUGC
RNAcentral lists this ribosomal RNA (465 nucleotides) under Shigella sonnei. Its description in RNAcentral is "bacterial SSU rRNA". It matches the Rfam family "Bacterial small subunit ribosomal RNA", at positions 55 to 508 of the family's 1533-position model. Lineage: Bacteria; Pseudomonadati; Pseudomonadota; Gammaproteobacteria; Enterobacterales; Enterobacteriaceae. The record is from RNAcentral.